GAGGGUUUAGCUUAAUUAAAGCGGUUGAUUUGCAUUCAGUAGAUGUGAGAUGGAGGUUCACAAUCCUUA
RNAcentral lists this transfer RNA (69 nucleotides) under Laonastes aenigmamus (Laotian rock rat). RNAcentral describes it as "tRNA-Ala". It matches the Rfam family "tRNA". Rfam says of the family: Transfer RNA (tRNA) molecules are approximately 80 nucleotides in length. Their secondary structure includes four short double-helical elements and three loops (D, anti-codon, and T loops). Further hydrogen bonds mediate the characteristic L-shaped molecular structure. tRNAs have two regions of fundamental functional importance: the anti-codon, which is responsible for specific mRNA codon recognition, and the 3' end, to which the tRNAs corresponding amino acid is attached (by aminoacyl-tRNA synthetases). tRNAs cope with the degeneracy of the genetic code in two manners: having more than one tRNA (with a specific anti-codon) for a particular amino acid; and 'wobble' base-pairing, i.e. permitting non-standard base-pairing at the 3rd anti-codon position. Lineage: Eukaryota; Metazoa; Chordata; Mammalia; Rodentia; Laonastidae. The record is from RNAcentral.